Molecule: ribosomal RNA, 498 nt
Filed under: uncultured bacterium
Lineage: Bacteria
Description: bacterial SSU rRNA
Rfam family: Bacterial small subunit ribosomal RNA
Source: RNAcentral
GAGGCACGCUGGCGGCGUGUCUUAGCCAUGCAAGUCGAGCGGACUUAUGGGGUAACUUAUAAGUCAGCGGCGGACGGCGGAGUAACACGUAGCUAACCUACCCUCUGGACGGGGAUAACCUACCGAAAGGUGGGCUAAUACCCGAUGUAGUCAUCCUGUAUAGGGGCGAUGAAAGGUGGGCUUCUGUUUACAAGCUCAUGCUGGAGGAGGGGGCUGCGGCCUAUCAGGUAGUUGGUAGGGUAAUAGCCUACCAAGCCGAUGACGGGUAGCCGGCCUGAGAGGGUGACCGGCCCGAGGGGCACUGAGAUACGGGUCCCACUCCUACGGGAGGCAGCAGGCUAGAAAUUUGGGCAAUGGGGGAAACCCUGACCCAGUGACGCCGCGUGCAGGAAGGAGCCCUUCGGGGUGUAAACUGCUGUCGUGUAGGGAGAAGGGUACUAAGGUGAACAAUCUUAGUACUUGACGGUACUACAGGAGGAAGCCCAGGCUAACCUCGUG